This 344-nucleotide small RNA is filed under the name Vigna angularis var. angularis. RNAcentral describes it as "Non-protein coding transcript". Lineage: Eukaryota; Viridiplantae; Streptophyta; Magnoliopsida; Fabales; Fabaceae. The record is from RNAcentral.
UUUUGAAAAAUUUACUUCAGAAAGAGACUCUUAUCAGAAAUGCUACCGAAGGGGAGCUAAAUCGUCUGAAAACUCAAAUGAAAGAACUGAAAGAUCGGGAGGCAUCAAGAGAAUCACAUAUCUUAAAACUUCGUAAGAUGUUGGAAGAUGAGGCACAGCAGAAGGAGAAUCUCAAAAGAGAAAUAACCAGAUUGCAAAGUCAACUGCUGCAAUUAGGUUUUAAUGUUGGAAAAAAAACACAAAAAAUUCGUCGAGUUCGAUCUGAGAAAGUUGCUGGUGGUUUAGAUUAUUCUCCCUCUUUCCUGGUUAAACAUCAACAGCAAGCUUCAGGAAAUGGAGAGGAG